RNAcentral lists this ribosomal RNA (513 nucleotides) under uncultured bacterium. Its description in RNAcentral is "partial 16S ribosomal RNA". It matches the Rfam family "Bacterial small subunit ribosomal RNA", at positions 28 to 523 of the family's 1533-position model. The record is from RNAcentral.
GACGAACGCUGGCGGCGUGCCUAAUACAUGCAAGUUGAGCGCUGAAGGUUGGUACUUGUACCGACUGGAUGAGCAGCGAACGGGUGAGUAACGCGUGGGGAAUCUGCCUUUGAGCGGGGGACAACAUUUGGAAACGAAUGUUAAUACCGCAUAAAAACUUUAAACACAAGUUUUAAGUUUGAAUGAUGCAAUUGCAUCACUCAAAGAUGAUCCAGCGUUGUAUUAGCUAGUUGGUGAGGUAAAGGCUCACCAAGGCGAUGAUACAUAGCCGACCUGAGAGGGUGAUCGGCCACAUUGGGACUGAGACACGGCCCAAACUCCUACGGGAGGCAGCAGUAGGGAAUCUUCGGCAAUGGACGAAAGUCUGACCGAGCAACGCCGCGUGAGUGAAGAAGGUUUUCGGAUCGUAAAACUCUGUUGGUAGAGAAGAACGUUGGUGAGAGUGGAAAGCUCAUCAAGUGACGGUAACUACCCAGAAAGGGACGGCUGACUACGUGCCAGCCGCCGCCGUAA